Molecule: ribosomal RNA, 376 nt
Filed under: Chrysocapsa paludosa
Lineage: Eukaryota; Chrysophyceae; Chromulinales; Chrysocapsaceae
Description: partial small subunit ribosomal RNA
Rfam family: Eukaryotic small subunit ribosomal RNA
Source: RNAcentral
GCUUGUCUCAAAGAUUAAGCCAUGCAUGUCUAAGUAUAAGCAAACUUGUACUGUGAAACUGCGAAUGGCUCAUUAUAUCAGUUAUAGUCUACUCGAUAGUACCUUACUACUUGGAUAACCGUAGUAAUUCUAGAGCUAAUACAUGCACAAAAUCCCGACUUACGAAGGGAUGUAUUUAUUAGAUACAAACCAACAUCGUGGUGAUUCAUAAUAACUCGCGGAUCGGUUUACCGAUGCAUCAUUCAAGUUUCUGCCCUAUCAGCUUUGGAUGGUAGGGUAUUGGCCUACCAUGGCUUUAACGGGUAACGGAGAAUUAGGGUUCGAUUCCGGAGAGGGAGCCUGAGAAAUGGCUACCACAUCCAAGGAAGGCAGCAGG